This 1518-nucleotide small RNA is filed under the name uncultured Arctic sea ice bacterium. RNAcentral's name for it is "bacterial SSU rRNA". The stretch from base 1 to 994 matches the Rfam family "Bacterial small subunit ribosomal RNA", at positions 528 to 1533 of the family's 1533-position model. The record is from RNAcentral.
AAGGGACCUAGCGUAGUUCGGAAUUACUGGGCUUAAAGAGUUCGUAGGUGGUUGAAAAAGUUGGUGGUGAAAUCCCAGAGCUUAACUCUGGAACUGCCAUCAAAACUUUUCAGCUAGAGUAUGAUAGAGGAAAGCAGAAUUUCUAGUGUAGAGGUGAAAUUCGUAGAUAUUAGAAAGAAUACCAAUUGCGAAGGCAGCUUUCUGGAUCAUUACUGACACUGAGGAACGAAAGCAUGGGUAGCGAAGAGGAUUAGAUACCCUCGUAGUCCAUGCCGUAAACGAUGUGUGUUAGACGUUGGAAAUUUAUUUUCAGUGUCGCAGGGAAACCGAUAAACACACCGCCUGGGGAGUACGACCGCAAGGUUAAAACUCAAAUGAAUUGACGGGGACCCGCACAAGUAGUGGAGCAUGUGGUUUAAUUCGAAGAUACGCGCAGAACCUUACCAACACUUGACAUGUUCGUCGCGACUCUAAGAGAUUAGAGUUUUCGGUUCGGCCGGACGAAACACAGGUGCUGCAUGGCUGUCGUCAGCUCGUGUCGUGAGAUGUUGGGUUAAGUCCCGCAACGAGCGCAACCCUCACUUUUAGUUGCCAUCGUUAAGUUGGGCACUCUGAAAGAACUGCCAGUGAUAAGCUGGAGGAAGGUGGGGAUGACGUCAAGUCCUCAUGGCCCUUACGUGUUGGGCUACACACGUGCUACAAUGGCAUCUACAACAGGAAGCAAAGCGGCAACGUUAAGCAAAUCCCGAAAAGAUGCCUCAGUUCGGAUUGCACUCUGCAACUCGAGUGCAUGAAGCUGGAAUUACUAGUAAUCGUGGAUCAGCGUGCCACGGUGAAUGCGUUCCCGGGUCUUGUACACACCGCCCGUCACACCAUGGGAGUUGGUUCUACCUUAAGGCAAGGUUUUAAACCCUUGACCACGGUAUAGUCAGCGACUGGGGUGAAGUCGUAACAAGGUAGCCGUAGGGGAACCUGCGGCUGGAUUACCUCCUUUCUAAGGAUGAGUGAAAGUAAAAUUUCACUCUAAAUAAUAUACAUCGGUAAUGUUGACCGUCCUCAUUUCUCUUCUUAAAGUAAUGUUUCCUUCUUGUAGGGCCGGUAGCUCAGUUGGUUGGAGCACACCCUUGAUAAGGGUGGGGUCGAAAGUCCGAGUCUUUCUCGGCCCACCAAAAACCUAAAUGGGGGAUUAGCUCAUCUGGGAGAGCGCCUGAUUUGCAUUCAGGAGGUAGCAGGUUCGAUCCCUGUAUCCUCCACCAGGAAACAUUUAGUUAUUAAAACUGUAAAUAAAAAUAAUUUAUAUCAAUAUCUAUAUCCGAACAUUAAAAGUUAUUAUUUAAUGUUCAAAAUAAAAAUUUGAUCACAACAUAGAUUAAUUUUCUGUUAAAAGAAUUUUUUUCUGUGCAUAAAUCAAGCGUUUAAGGGCGUGUAGUGGAUGCCUUGGCACUGAAAGCCGAUGAAGGACGUGAUAUACUGCGAUAAGUUUCGGGGAGCUGUAUGUAAGCUUUGAUCCGAAAAUUU